RNAcentral lists this small nuclear RNA (110 nucleotides) under Brassica napus (rape). Its description in RNAcentral is "snRNA U5". It matches the Rfam family "U5 spliceosomal RNA". Rfam says of the family: U5 RNA is a component of both types of known spliceosome. The precise function of this molecule is unknown, though it is known that the 5' loop is required for splice site selection and p220 binding, and that both the 3' stem-loop and the Sm site are important for Sm protein binding and cap methylation. The record is from RNAcentral. Lineage: Eukaryota; Viridiplantae; Streptophyta; Magnoliopsida; Brassicales; Brassicaceae.
AGCCAUGUGGUGAGCAUAAAGCUAACUAUUCUUUCGCCUUUUACUAAAGAAUACCGUGUGCUCUACAUGCUAAGUGGCAAAAGAAAAAUAGUACUAAUUUUAAUUAGGAA